GCCUGGCUGGCUCAGUUGGUUAAGCAUCUGACUUCAGCUCAGGUCAUGAUCUCAUGGUUCAUGGGUUUGAGCCCCAUGUCGGGCU
This 85-nucleotide transfer RNA is filed under the name Felis catus (domestic cat). It matches the Rfam family "tRNA". From Rfam's summary of the family: Transfer RNA (tRNA) molecules are approximately 80 nucleotides in length. The record is from Rfam by way of RNAcentral. Lineage: Eukaryota; Metazoa; Chordata; Mammalia; Carnivora; Felidae. RNAcentral also lists the same sequence under 1 other name.